Molecule: long non-coding RNA, 1075 nt
Filed under: Salmo salar (Atlantic salmon)
Lineage: Eukaryota; Metazoa; Chordata; Actinopteri; Salmoniformes; Salmonidae
Description: lncRNA (ENSSSAG00000085453.1)
Source: RNAcentral
CCUACAGUUUGCACAAUUCACGAGACUACGCAUCUCUGUCAAAGACAUAAGGUCUAUUAACCACACACACACACACACACACACACACACACACACACACACACACUGACGACGACUAUGAGCUAGAAUCCAGCUCGUGGACUGUCAGUGAUGCAGCCAUGGCAACCCUGGACCACUGACGUCACCAAUCGGGUGGGAGGAUGCGGUCUGUGAUUGGGUGAGAGAGCUGUCAGUCAGCCCAGUGAUGCAUGAUGGUCAUCGUGUGUGUGUGGACUGAUUGACGCGUUUCAUUCUCCUGAUACGUCACUUCCUGGUUGUGUGUGACGUCUAGCUCCUCCCUGUGGUUGCUAGGCUACAGCUGUCCAGAUGUGCUGGGGAGGAGAGAGUUCCCUAUCCGACCGGGACGACCAAACACACAGGCUGCUGGGAAAGAGGGACCUCUGAACAUCCUGUCCUCAAUCAAGUACACCAGGUGUGAGCUGCAGCCUCGAGCUAGCCGUAUCCCCAUCAGGAGGGCGGAGUCAACCACAGACACGCCCACUGCUGGCCUUAACCCCGCCUCCUCUGGCAGCUGGGAGGAGUCAACUACCAUGAGGGUCUGGAGACUCUUGAAACCUGGAUACCCCCUAACCCUAGGUGUGUCGGAGAAGGAGGUUCCUUCGUUGCGUGUUGUUUCCAGAGCGCUGCUGAAGAACACGGACAGGAGAUCCCUCUAUACACAUUCCACCACAGAGCCCCAAGUUUGUGAGGAGAAGACCGGUUUGGAGGCUGAGGCAGUGUGUGAAACAGCACCCCUGUGUGGAGAGGCAUGAUAACUACACCUUCCCCAACCAGGACAGUGGGGACUGACUGACACACACACUUUCCCUCUGAGAGACCAGGCACCUGUUAGCACCAAAACACCUUUUAGACAGAACUAUUUUAUUAAAUCUUUUUAAACUGUGUGAUUCUUAUACGUGUGUGUGUGUGUGUGUUGAAAUACUGCAGUGUAUAUUGUGUAAUGUAAAGCUUCUUGUGUGUUAGCUGCUGUAAGUUCCUCUGUAUCACCUGUAAACUAUAAUAUAUCAUGUAUUUA